GUUUUAAUAUUGUAUUGUUGUGCUUAGGAUAAGCAACUCAUUGGUUCUACAUUUAUAGUUUGCUUUGAACUUCUUGAGCUCGUAUGACUAAUCUCCCUGUAACUUGUGAGAAAGUGAAAUUCUUGUUUGAGAGAUUAUAGCUGACAUGAAAAUGUCAAAUCGGAUAAAUGACAGAAUUUUCAUUCCCUUACAACAGAUUGUUUCAUGCAUAAAUAUUGCUGAAGUUGAUACCUUAAAUACUAAAAGCUCCUCUAGUCAGUAGGAAGUUGGUCUCUUACUCUUCCAAUUUUUGAAGUUGAUUUUGUUCUAUGGUUUGGCUGCUGUCGCCUAUUUCAUACUUAAAAGUCAAAUGUAACACCUCCACACUCUUGGGCCACUUGAGAUCAACUCUGGGUAGAAGACAGGGUGAUUGAUCCACCUUGGCUCCUGCAGUUUUCCUGGUUGGGUCUGGCAGAUACACCUAUUGAUUGUUAGUAAAUCAAUUUUUAGCUGACAUAAAAAUAAAAAUUCUUUCCUGAACAUCAAAUCUUUUGUUGUUGACUUGUUAUUGGAUGAAACCUUAAUGAUUUUUUUCAUCAGGAGCUAUUUCUAGUUGUCUGUUCUUCUUCAGAAGUAAGAUUUGAACAUUCUUUAAGUAGAUACUAGUAGUGGUUAUAGUUGAAGUCCUUGUACACCUAUUACUGGUUUGAAUUUGAUAAAUGCUUGGCUGACUGGAAUGGUGUUUUGGCUCUUUACUAAGCUCUUUGACCUGGAUUUCUUGCCAGACUUUUAUUCACCUAUUAACAUCUCUUUUUCUUCCCUUUUAGUUAAAGGUGAUGGGGCUACACAACCUUUGCCUUAUCGCUAAUUGUGAUGAAUUUACCUUCCCUUCAUAUAUGUUGUUAGACCUGUCAAAUUGAGAUAAAAUAUGGAAUCAUUCCAAUCUUACUCUAGAAAGUAUUCUUAACGUUGUAGUAUUCGUGUGUGAUGCAGGACAUUGAUGUUGUCUCAUUGUCGGGUUGAUUGUCACAAAAUCUGCAAUCUCCUCUCCUACAGUAUAAGAUUGAUUAUUCACAUUUGAAUCAACUUUCUAUGUUGCAUUUUGCAUUUUUUAUUUGAUGUAUGAAUUAGUGGCUGAAUUCACUUAUCGGACUAAAAUUUUGAUAAUCUGUAUGAUCAGGUGCAUUUUAUCCACCACCUAAAAUCUGGUGUAAAAUGCUACUAGGGCAAAAUCAUACAUCAAUCAACUUUUACUGGAUCACAUUGUUAUUUGUUAUACUCUAAAUUUUCAUAUCACGGGUCAGAUAUGAAAAGAUGAAUAAAUUAAUAUAAUAUGAAUCAACAAUUGCUACUACAAGUCGGUUGGUCUUGCAGUGAAAUUACUAUGGUGGGUUGUGUGGUUUUAGUUUCAUUUUUAGUUUUCUUGUUCUUUGCAAUUUGGUAGCAUCCCAUCUCUGGUUUGUAUGUAUUCUCUAUAUUUGUAUUUACUUAUUAUACAUAUGAAUUGAAGUUAUGAGAUUAUUAUAUAAGAACAAGAUGUCAACUUGGAUUAGGGAAGCAAGAUUGUGAUGGGGGUAUAUGUUCAAAUCUACUUGUUUGACUCAUGACUGGAGUCGAGCUCUAGUCAAAUUGAAUUCGAAGGUAAAGAGUGAAGGCUAAAGAGAAACCUCUUUCUCAUUCUGGGUUUCAUUUUUGUUUUUUCAGUCUUUCUUUCUUUCUUUCUUUCAUUCUUUCUUUCUUUGUGGGUAAAAUGAGGUGUUUCCUGGUUCCUUAGUGCAGGUAUCUUUUGAAAGUUCCUUAUAUAAAGAGGGAAUUUUAUUUUAUGUGUUUGUGGGGGCAUAAAUGUGUUUUUUUUGGCUACCUGUUUUGUAUCAUAUUGUAUAUUUAUAGACCUUUCUUGGUGUUUUUGGGAGAGUUUGUUACAAGGCCUGUGAGUGUGAGGGCAUAAAUGCGUUUUCUUUUCUUUUUGUUUAUAAAUUGAGUAACAACAAUAUACAUGUUUUCUAUUCUUUUCUUUUUCAUUGUAAAUUAAGUUUCCAAUUUUUUUUUCCAUCACAAAACUCAUAAAAAGAAAAAGAGUGUUCUUCAAUAAACCUUAGUAAGGGGAAUUUGAAACAGAAAAGAAGGUCACUAAUUAUAGAAAAGAAAUGAUGAGGCAUGACACUUACAUAGGUGGAGGUGGCUUUGGGACCAAUUUGUAUGUCUCAGUACCACCACCACUACUAGUACUAGGGGAUGACCACCGCCAAGGCCAAGGUUAUAACAGAACAGAGGACCACAGCUCCACCUCCCAUGCGCUAUCAUAUCAUAUAUUGUUGCCUGCAUCCCCAAUUUGAGCCCCCCUCUCAAGAACUCACGAGAAAUGCUCGUUGAAUCGUACAGUACAAUACAGCUCACCAAAGAAUUUUUCUCUAAAUACCUCCUAGUAUUAUCUUCUUCUUUCUUCUUCUUCUAGAGUUUUCUUGGGAAGAAUUGUUUCAUUGCUUCACAUGGCAGCAGCUAUAGGCUAUAGCAAAUGAUGGAAGUCACUAAAGACAUUAUUCUUAAAAUUAUGAUAUCCCCUUUUUUGGAAUAUUUACUUUUCAAC
RNAcentral lists this long non-coding RNA (2566 nucleotides) under Panax ginseng (ginseng). RNAcentral describes it as "long non-coding RNA (PGIN_LNC018544)". The record is from RNAcentral. Lineage: Eukaryota; Viridiplantae; Streptophyta; Magnoliopsida; Apiales; Araliaceae.